This is a non-coding RNA of Pseudoalteromonas sp. P1-25, 83 nucleotides long. Lineage: Bacteria; Pseudomonadati; Pseudomonadota; Gammaproteobacteria; Alteromonadales; Pseudoalteromonadaceae. The record is from Rfam.
UUUUUCUGUUGGCAAAUUAGUCGAAAGGCUAAGACGCAAAGUUUCCGGUCUAAGGUUUAAACUAUGAUAGCGGGGCUGCUGGG